UGGUCGUUGCCCUGCGUCUCCCUUAAGAUGCUGUUUAUGGACAAUUGUAUGACUAUCCUGCCCCCUUUAGGAAAUGGAUAAAAAACCUGGAUACCUCCCUUAGGAAAUUCCAGGCGCACCUCGCGUCUCCCUUUGGAUGCUUCUUUGCCGGCUAUGUCCCCUGAAGGACUCUUUUGGUCGUUGCCCUGUGUCUCCCUUAGAACGAUGCUUAUGGACAAAUGUAUGACCAUCCUUCCCCCCUUAGGAAACAGAUAGGAACUUGGAUACCUCUCUUAGGAAAUUCCUGGCGCACCCUGUAUCUCCCUUAGGAUACUUCUGGUCGUCGCCAUACGUCUCCCUUUGGAAACUUUUUUUGGGCAACUGUUUGACUAUCCU
RNAcentral lists this long non-coding RNA (375 nucleotides) under Prunus persica (peach). Its description in RNAcentral is "long non-coding RNA (PPER_LNC002181)". Lineage: Eukaryota; Viridiplantae; Streptophyta; Magnoliopsida; Rosales; Rosaceae. The record is from RNAcentral.